ACAGAAUCUCUUUUAUAUUCACACUUCACCCAAUACAAACAUUCAUCUACCUCAUUUAAAUUUUGUGCUCUGGAAUGCAUCUCUCAAAAACCUUUCAUGGACUUGGAAAAACUAUUAUCCCAAAGGGAAAUGUACUGGAUCUUUAAGUUUAAAACCUUUUCCCCUCAGGGACUUAAUGAAUCACUUAAUUUUAGCUGUUUCCUUUAAACCUUCAAGUACUCUUUAAAAACCUUUGAAUGAACCUCCAGAAUUACUCGCAGUUGAAAUCACCACAAGCAGAGUCACUCAGUGAAAGCAUUUAGCACUAUAUAGAAAUUCAUUGUUGCUGAGUUUAACAACUCCUGAAGAAGGGGUUUUUCCCUGAAACAGGGUCAAAAAUACCCGGGACCCCUGUAGACUUGGGACUUUAUUUGGACUUUACUUUUGAAGACUUUUUUGAGAGCGGUGCUCCAUCAUUAUUUUCUUCAAUCCAGUAUACAGCAACACGACCAACCAUCUGUUUGGAAGAUAUUUUCAUUGACUGUAUCCCUGAAGCCUAUAUGUAUUGGACCCAAUACCAGACUUGAACAACUUUUGUGUUAGAGCUGUUGCUCCUUUUCAUUUUGUUGGGUACAGCCAAAUUGAGCUUUGUACGGGGAACUGUAACAAUAUAUGUCAUUUGGACACAUUUUCUUUGUACAUAGACAAUCGUUUGUGUGUAUAGAUACUUUACAAGUAUUCUGGGACUUUGUAUAGUAAUUUAAUUUCCUGACCCCUUACUUUAAAUCCUUGAAAUUGAGUAUCCUCUCUAAUUCUUAUACUCAGAAUUUCCAAUCCCAGAAUAAACAAUAAUGGUGAAAAUGG
This is a long non-coding RNA of Anolis carolinensis (green anole), 843 nucleotides long. RefSeq lists it as uncharacterized. Lineage: Eukaryota; Metazoa; Chordata; Lepidosauria; Squamata; Anolidae. The transcript is spliced from 2 exons. The record is from RefSeq and is a predicted model, not a curated record.